Molecule: ribosomal RNA, 173 nt
Filed under: uncultured bacterium
Lineage: Bacteria
Description: partial 16S ribosomal RNA
Rfam family: Bacterial small subunit ribosomal RNA
Source: RNAcentral
ACAGGGCCGCAUGGCCCGGUGUGAAAAACUCCGGUGGUGUAAGAUGGAUCCGCGUCUGAUUAGCUUGUUGGCGGGGUAGGGGCCCACCAAGGCGACGAUCAGUAGCCGGCCUGAGAGGGUGGACGGCCACAUUGGGACUGAGACACGGCCCAAACUCCUACGGAAGGCAGCAG